ACAAACUUGGUCAUUUAGAGGAAGUAAAAGUCGUAACAAGGUUUCCGUAGGUGAACCUGCGGAAGGAUCAUUACAGCGUACUUGGUCUUCGGACCGACUACCCGUCCUAUUGUCAUGAGAGCGUGCGGAAGGGGCUUCGGCCCCUGACGUGCGAGCAUCACUUCCCAGGAAGCGUUGGGGGUUUCACGCGGCGGCCGAUGUGAAUCGGUGGCGGCGGAGAUGUUCGACCGCCUGGGGCACUUUUUUUGCAAAACUCUUGCGAGAAUUAUGAAGUCUGAAGAAAUUGAAAAAUAAAGCAAAACUUUCAACAACGGAUCUCUUGGCUCUGGCAUCGAUGAAGAACGCAGC
RNAcentral lists this unclassified non-coding RNA (348 nucleotides) under uncultured fungus. RNAcentral describes it as "partial contains small subunit ribosomal RNA, internal transcribed spacer 1, and 5.8S ribosomal RNA". The stretch from base 1 to 73 matches the Rfam family "Eukaryotic small subunit ribosomal RNA", at positions 1759 to 1831 of the family's 1831-position model. The record is from RNAcentral. Lineage: Eukaryota; Fungi.